CGCUAGCGGCAGGCUUAACACGAUGCAAGUCGAGGGCAGCACGAUGUAGCAAUACGAUGGGUGGCGACCGGCGCACGGGUGCGUAACACGUAUGGAAUCUGCCCUGUACUGGGAGAUAGCCCUCCGAAAGGAGGAUUAAUAUCCCAUGAUCGCCGAGUGGCAUCACCUUGGUCUGAAAGCUCCGGCGGUACAGGAUGACCAUGCGCACGAUUAGCUAGUUGGUGAGGUAACGGCUCACCAAGGCUACGAUCGUUAGGGGGCCUGAGAGGGUUAUCCCCCCACACUGGUACUGAGACACGGACCAGACUCCUACGGGAGGCAGCAGUGAGGAAUAUUGCGCAAUGGAGGCAACUCUGACGCAGCCAUGCCGCGUGCAGGAAGAAGGCGCUACGCGUUGUAAACUGCUUUUAACCGGGAAGAAACCCCAGGACGUGUCCUGGGUUGACGGUACCGGAGGAAUAAGCACCGGCUAACUUCGUG
RNAcentral lists this ribosomal RNA (480 nucleotides) under uncultured bacterium. RNAcentral describes it as "bacterial SSU rRNA". It matches the Rfam family "Bacterial small subunit ribosomal RNA", at positions 34 to 507 of the family's 1533-position model. The record is from RNAcentral.